Spinacia oleracea (spinach) is the source of this 1374-nucleotide long non-coding RNA. RefSeq lists it as uncharacterized. NCBI's taxonomy places the organism in Eukaryota, Viridiplantae, Streptophyta, Magnoliopsida, Caryophyllales, Amaranthaceae. The transcript is spliced from 3 exons. The record is from RefSeq and is a predicted model, not a curated record.
UUUAAAUUGAAGUUAAAAAAAGAUGUGUCCACUAGGUGGAAUUCUACUUUUUUAAUGCUUUAAAGAGCAUUGUUAGCCAAAGAAGCUUUAGAUAUGUUUGCUAAAAGAGAGAAUAAUUACGAGUUUGGUCUUUCUCCACUUGAAUGGCAACAUAUUCAAUCGAUGUCUGAUUUUCUUGAGCCAUACUAUCUGAUUACAAAACUUUUUUCUGGUUCUGAUUAUCCAACUUCAAACCAUUACUUUGCUAAUAUUAUGAGUAUUGAAAAGCUUUUACACGAUGCCCAUGUUGAUGAUGAUCCAAUGAUAAGAAUAAUGGCUGGUAAGAUGCAAGGUAAGUUUGAUAAAUAUUGGAGCAAUUAUCCUGUAAUUUUAUCUUUUGCUGUGAUUUUUGACUCUCGUUUCAAGCUUGAUUUGGUGAAGAACUUGUACUCUAUCCUAUAUGUUGAUGAUGCAACUAAUAGUAAGACACAAUUUGUGCUUUCUGAAUUUAUUGAGAUGUACAAUUUUUAUGCCAAAUCUUCAACACCGUGCUCUUCAUCUUCAUCUUCAUUACAAAGCACAUCAACAUCUGUUUCGCCUUUCGCCCCUCCUAGACCAUUUAAGACAAGCGAUAUUUACAAGGUUAUUUUACUCUUUUUUUAUUUAUUUAUUUAGUUAACCAACUAUAUGUUUUGAAGAUCAUAUUAUUUUUAUUUUUUUUAGAAUUUCACUUCAACUGUAGCUCCUAGUAGAGUUGGCAGUUCCACAUCUGAAGUUGAUGCCUAUUUGAGUUUGCCAUUGAGGUCCAGUUUUCCGGGUGAAGAGUUCGAUAUCCUUAAUUAUUGGAAAGAGCAAUCUGCCUCUUAUCCAAUCCUCUCUCGAAUGGCAAAAGAUGUACUCGCCAUUCCUAUAACCUUCGUUGCCUCAGAAUCUUCAUUCAGCAUGGGUGGUCGAAUUUUGACCAAGAUAAGGAGUUGUCUCACGGAUGAACACCUCGAAGCUUUGGUUACUUCUAAAAAUUGGUUGGAUGGUUAUGAUGAAGAAGAGGCUGAAAAUUGUGAACUUGACACUGAGCCUUCAAUUGAUUAUUUAGUGUUAUCUUGCUGAAAUUCUUAUUUUGAGUUACUUGUCACAAGAAAACUUUUGUUUGAAGGCCGUAGAGUGUUGUAGAAGGUGCACCUGCUUCUCUUUUGUGCUCCUUUGAAGUGGUGUUGCCAAGAGGGCAAUAACGAUCUUCUUUUGAUAUUUUGUAACUAAAACUUGUUAAGUUGUUAUGUUGUGCAAUGUAUAGUGGCACUACAACUUUGGAUAAAUGGUUGGUCUUACAGCUUUUCCAACGUUUAUUCCUUGCUAUAUUUUUGGUACAUAAACUUAAAAUCCUCUUUUGAUGUAAUA